RNAcentral lists this small nucleolar RNA (139 nucleotides) under Neotoma lepida (desert woodrat). RNAcentral describes it as "Small nucleolar RNA SNORA70". It matches the Rfam family "Small nucleolar RNA SNORA70". Rfam says of the family: snoRNA U70 seems to be exclusive to mammals and is a member of the H/ACA class of snoRNA which contain H (ANANNA) and ACA box motifs. H/ACA box snoRNAs are involved in the conversion of uridines to pseudouridines (5-ribosyluracil) a constituent of structural RNAs (transfer, ribosomal, small nuclear, and small nucleolar). Lineage: Eukaryota; Metazoa; Chordata; Mammalia; Rodentia; Cricetidae. The record is from Rfam by way of RNAcentral.
UUGAAGAAUAUGCUAAAAGCUUCUAGUAGGAAAAAGAAACAUAGGGCCUUGUGUGCAAUGGCUGCAAACAGCAGCCUCCUUGGGAGUGCAUGUAGCCUGUUGCCUAUAUGGGUUGCCCUAAGGGACCUUGGAGACAAUU